This 491-nucleotide ribosomal RNA is filed under the name uncultured bacterium. Its description in RNAcentral is "partial 16S ribosomal RNA". It matches the Rfam family "Bacterial small subunit ribosomal RNA", at positions 29 to 506 of the family's 1533-position model. The record is from RNAcentral.
AGUGAACGCUGGCGGUAGGCCUAACACAUGCAAGUCGAACGGCAGCACAGUAAGAGCUUGCUCUUACGGGUGGCGAGUGGCGGACGGGUGAGGAAUACAUCGGAAUCUACUUUUUCGUGGGGGAUAACGUAGGGAAACUUACGCUAAUACCGCAUACGACCUACGGGUGAAAGCAGGGGAUCUUCGGACCUUGCGCGAUUGAAUGAGCCGAUGUCGGAUUAGCUAGUUGGCGGGGUAAAGGCCCACCAAGGCGACGAUCCGUAGCUGGUCUGAGAGGAUGAUCAGCCCCACUGGAACUGAGAAACGGUCCAGACUCCUACGGGAGGCAGCAGUGGGGAAUAUUGGACAAUGGGCGCAAGCCUGAUCCAGCCAUACCGCGUGGGUGAAGAAGGCCUUCGGGUUGUAAAGCCCUUUUGUUGGGAAAGAAAAGCAGCAGGUUAAUACCCCGCUGUUCUGACGGUACCCAAAGAAUAAGCACCGGCUAACUUCGU